This 263-nucleotide ribosomal RNA is filed under the name Nannizzia gypsea. Its description in RNAcentral is "partial small subunit ribosomal RNA". It matches the Rfam family "Eukaryotic small subunit ribosomal RNA", at positions 1163 to 1448 of the family's 1831-position model. Lineage: Eukaryota; Fungi; Ascomycota; Eurotiomycetes; Onygenales; Arthrodermataceae. The record is from RNAcentral.
GGCACCACCAGGCGUGGAGCCUGCGGCUUAAUUUGACUCAACACGGGGAAACUCACCAGGUCCAGACAAAAUAAGGAUUGACAGAUUGAGAGCUCUUUCUUGAUCUUUUGGAUGGUGGUGCAUGGCCGUUCUUAGUUGGUGGAGUGAUUUGUCUGCUUAAUUGCGAUAACGAACGAGACCUUAACCUGCUAAAUAGCCCGGUCGGCGUCUGCCGGCCGCUGGCUUCUUAGAGGGACUAUCGACUCAAGUCGAUGGAAGUUUGA